Molecule: ribosomal RNA, 611 nt
Filed under: uncultured bacterium
Lineage: Bacteria
Description: bacterial SSU rRNA
Rfam family: Bacterial small subunit ribosomal RNA (bases 1-517)
Source: RNAcentral
CCUACGGGAGGCAGCAGUGGGGAAUAUUGGACAAUGGGCGAAAGCCUGAUCCAGCAAUGCCGCGUGAGUGAAGAAGGCCCUCGGGUUGUAAAGCUCUUUUACCCGGGAAGAUAAUGACUGUACCGGGAGAAUAAGCCCCGGCUAACUCCGUGCCAGCAGCCGCGGUAAUACGGAGGGGGCUAGCGUUGUUCGGAAUUACUGGGCGUAAAGCGUACGUAGGCGGCUUUGUAAGUCAGAGGUGAAAGCCCACGACUCAAUCGUGGAACUGCCUUUGAGACUGCUUCGCUUGAAGAUGGGAGAGGUUAGUGGAAUUCCGAGUGUAGAGGUGAAAUUCGUAGAUAUUCGGAAGAACACCAGUGGCGAAGGCGGCUAACUGGACCAUUCUUGACGCUGAGGUACGAAAGCGUGGGGAGCAAACAGGAUUAGAUACCCUGGUAGUCCACGCCGUAAACGAUGAUAACUAGCUGUUGGGGCUCUUGGAGCUUCGGUGGCGCAGCUACGCAUUAAGUUAUCCGUCCGUGGGUAGGUACGGCCGGCGAAGGUUAAAACGUUAAAAGGUAAAGUUAGACGGCGUGAGACGNGCCGACGGACGACGACGAGGGGAGGUUAGG